Non-coding RNA from Colinus virginianus (northern bobwhite), 65 nucleotides. The record is from Rfam. Lineage: Eukaryota; Metazoa; Chordata; Aves; Galliformes; Odontophoridae.
GUGUGUUUAUGAAGAGCACUGACAAAAGAGUAAUUGACUCAGUUGGUGUUCAGAUACUUUCACAC